UACGUAGGGUGCAGGCGUUAAUCGGAAUUACUGGGCGUAAAGCGUGCGUAGGCGGCCUACUAAGUCAGACGUGAAAUCCCCCGGCUUAACCUGGGAACUGCGUCUGAUACUGGAAGGCUUGAGUAUGGGAGAGGGAUGUAGAAUUCCAGGUGUAGCGGUGAAAUGCGUAGAUAUCUGGAGGAAUACCGGUGGCGAAGGCGGCAUCCUGGACCAUUACUGACGCUGAGGCGCGAAAGCUAGGGGAGCAAACGGG
This 253-nucleotide ribosomal RNA is filed under the name uncultured bacterium. Its description in RNAcentral is "partial 16S ribosomal RNA". It matches the Rfam family "Bacterial small subunit ribosomal RNA", at positions 524 to 776 of the family's 1533-position model. The record is from RNAcentral.